Molecule: ribosomal RNA, 518 nt
Filed under: uncultured bacterium
Lineage: Bacteria
Description: partial 16S ribosomal RNA
Rfam family: Bacterial small subunit ribosomal RNA
Source: RNAcentral
GACGAACGCUGGCGGCGUGCCUAAUACAUGCAAGUCGAACGCACUCUCGUUAGAUUGAAGAAGCUUGCUUAUGAUUGAUAACAUUUGAGUGAGUGGCGGACGGGUGAGUAACACGUGGGUAACCUGCCCUAAAGUGGGGGAUAACAUUUGGAAACAGAUGCUAAUACCGCAUAAAACCUAGCACCGCAUGGUGCAAGGUUGAAAGAUGGUUUCGGCUAUCACUUUAGGAUGGACCCGCGGUGCAUUAGUUAGUUGGUGAGGUAAAGGCUCACCAAGACCGUGAUGCAUAGCCGACCUGCGAGGGUAAUCGGCCACCCUGGGACUGAGACACGGCCCAGACUCCUACGGGAGGCAGCAGUAGGGAAUCUUCCACAAUGGACGAAAGUCUGAUGGAGCAACGCCGCGUGAGUGAAGAAGGUUUUCGGAUCGUAAAACUCUGUUGUUGGAGAAGAACGUAUUUGAUAGUAACUGAUCAGGUAGUGACGGUAUCCAACCAGAAAGCCACGGCUAACUACGUG